This 252-nucleotide ribosomal RNA is filed under the name Escherichia coli. Its description in RNAcentral is "partial 16S ribosomal RNA". It matches the Rfam family "Bacterial small subunit ribosomal RNA", at positions 1 to 249 of the family's 1533-position model. The record is from RNAcentral. Lineage: Bacteria; Pseudomonadati; Pseudomonadota; Gammaproteobacteria; Enterobacterales; Enterobacteriaceae.
AAAUUGAAGAGUUUGAUCAUGGCUCAGAUUGAAUGCUGGCGGCAGGCCUAACACAUGCAAGUCGAACGGUAACAGGAAGAAGCUUGCUUCUUUGCUGACGAGUGGCGGACGGGUGAGUAAUGUCUGGGAAACUGCCUGAUGGAGGGGGAUAACUACUGGAAACGGUAGCUAAUACCGCAUAACGUCGCAAGACCAAAGAGGGGGACCUUCGGGCCUCUUGCCAUCGGAUGUGCCCAGAUGGGAUUAGCUAGU